AACGAACGCUGGCGGCAGGCUUAACACAUGCAAGUCGAACGCUCGUAGCAAUACGGGAGUGGCGGACGGGUGAGUAACGCGUGGGAACGUGCCCUGAGGUACGGAAUAACUGAGGGAAACUUCAGCUAAUACCGUAUGAGCCCCGAGAGGGGAAGAUUAUCGCCUUGGGAGCGGCCCGCGUCGGAUUAGCUAGUUGGUGGGGUAACGGCCUACCAAGGCUUCGAUCCGUAGCUGGUCUGAGAGGACGAUCAGCCACACUGGGACUGAGACACGGCCCAGACUCCUACGGGAGGCAGCAGUGGGGAAUCUUGCGCAAUGGGGGGCAACCCUGACGCAGCCAUGCCGCGUGAACGAUGAAGGCCUUAGGGUUGUAAAGUUCUUUUACCCGUGACGAUGAUGACGGUAACGGGGGAAUAAGCUCCGGCUAAACUUCGUGCCAGCAGCCGCGGUAAU
RNAcentral lists this ribosomal RNA (453 nucleotides) under uncultured bacterium. Its description in RNAcentral is "bacterial SSU rRNA". It matches the Rfam family "Bacterial small subunit ribosomal RNA", at positions 29 to 524 of the family's 1533-position model. The record is from RNAcentral.